AUCUCGGGAGUCGCCUCUCGAGUGCAAAGGGCAAUCCUCGGAAGAAGCGUGUUACCCCUCGGGAGGAGCUAAUAAUUGAUGUCGACAUAUUUCGCCGCGUCUCCGGGGAUGUCCCUGAAUUCGCCCGAUGCAUCGACAGUCGAACCGACGAAGAACCUCGCGGGAAAUACACUGGGAAAGAAGAGAAACUUCUCCCGGGAACGACUGGGUCAACUUCUAAUUCGAUCGCGUUGACGAAUCGCGCGGUUGAUUACCAUUCAGCGGGCCAAGUUCGGGUUCGCGUGGCUUCCGGAGACGCAUGGAAAUGUCCUCGGCCCCCGGGGACCUUCAAGAAGCUUCCCAAGAAAAACGAGGACAAGUGUUCAGGACGUCGCGGAACCGCUCGGAGUACGCUGUCCCGUAGCGAAACGCUGUUGCUCCCGGCGAAGCUUAUUUACCGGUACGCUCGAGUGCUUUACCUUGUCGGCGGCGAUCGACGAGGGCCGAUUAUACGAGUAAUUCGUUACGCCUGCCACGCCACGGGCGAAUGUCUUUGAUAUUGGAUACACGGCGCGCGGUGUAAUUAAAAGGGAUUCAGUGGUUCUCGGUGUUCCCGUGGCGCAUCAUUCAGGGCGCGCCGUUAAUACGUUAACCGGAGACGGCGAGCUCACCUUGCUUCGCCGUUCGACCGACUUCCGAGACCUCGGGUUCCUUACAAUCAGCGGAGAACGAGGAAUCCCGCCGAGGGAAUCGAAGAAUCCGCGUUACAGCGCGGUCGAGUCACAUUCGCGGCGAGUUUGUCGAACGGAUUGGAUUGCCGCGAGCGGCCGAAGGAAUUAUGCAUGCCGCAUACACGGCUCGGCGAGGGGCGAGCUCGUAUUUACCCGGCGCCGCGGUUCUCUCGUUACGGCCGCGUGUUUUGCUCGACCUCUUUGGUUCUCCGCGCGCUGUACGCUCCGCGCGGAGCCAUUCACGUACACGCCGGCGUCCGUCAACGCGUUGCUCGUGUUUUUUCCAACGGCAACAGCGCUCGCCGAGCGAUCGCGGAAGAGGCUCUUAAUGGAUCGUCUCGAGACAGCCGUCGCUGAAAAGCCGGCGAUUGUCGCUGAAGAAGUAUUGAGAACGUCGCUGCGACGAAGGACGGGGAAAAUCUAGGGAACUCGAUUACCAGGGAGCGGCAGAUGGUCGAAUUAAGAGCGCAUUGAAGGAUCUUUCCGGGGAUCCGCGGCGCCGCGGUUGAGAACCGGGGAAUAAGUUAUCGGGCAGGAACGGUGUGCAACAACACGUUGUAAGAUAAUGCGAUUUGGUACCCGGCAGAGAGCUACCUUGGUCGCGGGACCGUGCAGCUACAUCGACGUCGGGACACGAACACGCGGGACGUGUGUUCGAACACGGGAGCACAGGUAUACGCGGCUGCUGUGUACACAGAGGCCAUGAUAAACGAGCCAGACGAUAUUUCCGCGCAACUGUGCUCCCGCAUACGAGUGUAACAGCGCAGCGUUAUGUCAAUGCGAUCGCGUUUUAAGCAGAUGUACGGAACGCACGUGCCCGCAGGAAUCCUGGGUUUACCCUGUGUGACUUGCUGGAUAGCCGGAAUCGUGGCCUGCGUUAAUUGUAGUGGCACUCUGGGUUUAAAUUCGGUUGAGGAUUUCAAGAACUGCAGGUUGCUUCCAGGAACCCCGAGGAAUUGUUCUCCGGAAUGAUUCAUGAACUUUUAAAUAGGUCUGUAGGAUUGUGAACGUCUUUAGGAGAAUCUUUUUGAAAGGAGGUAUUGUUGAAGGCUUUUGAAAAGACGCUCCGGUUCUACGGGGGAGCUUGAAGAAACCUUGAAGUAUGUAGAAAUUUAGAAUUCAUAUGGAGGACUACGACUGGUGCAAAAUCUUCGUAGGAUAAUGUUAGUUUGAUAUUAUUACUUUGAUAUUUCACAUAGUGAAUAUUUCAAUUAGUAGAAAGCCUUGGCAUUAGAAAAAUAAUGGCAUUAGUCAGUUAACCCUUUGCACUCGAAAGUUUUUCACUAGAAAUAUUCACAGGCAAAACGAAUUGCUAUAAUUCACUCAAUUAAACGAUGGUUAUUCGCAAACAUUUCUAUAUUACAAAUAAUGAUACUCAUUGCGACAUUCAGU
Nomia melanderi (Alkali bee) is the source of this 2102-nucleotide long non-coding RNA. RefSeq lists it as uncharacterized. NCBI's taxonomy places the organism in Eukaryota, Metazoa, Arthropoda, Insecta, Hymenoptera, Halictidae. The record is from RefSeq and is a predicted model, not a curated record.